Molecule: long non-coding RNA, 411 nt
Filed under: Chrysolophus pictus (golden pheasant)
Lineage: Eukaryota; Metazoa; Chordata; Aves; Galliformes; Phasianidae
Description: lncRNA (ENSCPIG00010006493.1)
Source: RNAcentral
AAUAUCUGCAAAGACACAUCACCAGGCCAACAACUUCAAUGUGUUUGAAGGAAUGGUCUGUCAUGGAGUCCCUGUUGCAACAAUUUCAAGAGGCAAAGUGGUUUAUCAUGAUGGAGUUUUCAAUGUCACAGCAGGACAAGGCAAAUACGUCUCUCGUCCACCAUUUCCUCCAUAUGUCUAUGAACGAGUCAAGCAGCGGGAGGAGGUCUGUCAGCCUAUUCCUGUUAAGAGAGAACCAUAUGCAGGUGUGGUCUCAGCAACACCUGUCACACCAACAUAAUAGCUGCAUUCCUCAGAUAAAAGCAGAUGAAAAUGACCCUGAUGUGUCCACUGAAGAAGUGCACAUUCAGUUCAAAACCAGCUUCUCAAGCCAAUGUGAAACAACAGUAACCAAUAAACAUUACACUGCGC